Stegodyphus mimosarum is the source of this 73-nucleotide non-coding RNA. The record is from Rfam. Lineage: Eukaryota; Metazoa; Arthropoda; Arachnida; Araneae; Eresidae.
GCCUUCGUGGUGUAAUGGUCAGCACUCUGAGCCGGAAUUCCAGAGGUCCGUGGUUCGAUCCCCGGCGAAUGCA